Molecule: ribosomal RNA, 468 nt
Filed under: uncultured bacterium
Lineage: Bacteria
Description: partial 16S ribosomal RNA
Rfam family: Bacterial small subunit ribosomal RNA
Source: RNAcentral
GACGAACGCUGGCGGCGUGCUUAACACAUGCAAGUCGAACGGAAAGGCCCUGCUUUCGUGGGGUGCUCGAGUGGCGAACGGGUGAGUAACACGUGAGUAACCUGCCCUUGACUUUGGGAUAACUUCAGGAAACUGGGGCUAAUACCGGAUAGGAGCUCCUGCUGCAUGGAGGGGGUUGGAAAGUCUCGGCGGUUGGGGAUGGACUCGCGGCUUAUCGGCUUGUUGGUGGGGUAGUGGCUUACCAAGGCUUUGACGGGUAGCCGGCCUGGGAGGGUGACCGGCCUCAUUGGGCCUGAGAUACGGACCAGACUCCUACGGGAGGCAGCAGGGGGGAAUAUUGCACAGUGGGCGGAAGCCUGAUGCGGCAGCGCCGCGUGCGGGAUGCCGGCCUUCGGGUUGUGAACCGCUUUCGCCUGUGACGAAGCGUGAGUGACGGUAAUGGAUAAAGAAGCACCGGCUAACUACGUG